This 253-nucleotide ribosomal RNA is filed under the name uncultured bacterium. RNAcentral's name for it is "partial 16S ribosomal RNA". It matches the Rfam family "Bacterial small subunit ribosomal RNA", at positions 524 to 776 of the family's 1533-position model. The record is from RNAcentral.
UACGGAGGGAGCUAGCGUUGUUCGGAAUUACUGGGCGUAAAGGGCGCGUAGGCGGCCUGUUAAGUCGGACGUGAAAUCCCUCGGCUCAACCGGGGAACUGCGUCCGAUACUGGCGGGCUUGAAUUCGGGAGAGGGAUGUGGAAUUCCAGGUGUAGCGGUGAAAUGCGUAGAUAUCUGGAGGAACACCGGUGGCGAAGGCGGCAUCCUGGACCGACAUUGACGCUGAGGCGCGAAAGCCAGGGGAGCAAACGGG